Molecule: transfer RNA, 73 nt
Filed under: Microcaldota archaeon
Lineage: Archaea; Nanobdellati; Microcaldota
Description: tRNA-Pro
Rfam family: tRNA
About the family: Transfer RNA (tRNA) molecules are approximately 80 nucleotides in length. Their secondary structure includes four short double-helical elements and three loops (D, anti-codon, and T loops). Further hydrogen bonds mediate the characteristic L-shaped molecular structure. tRNAs have two regions of fundamental functional importance: the anti-codon, which is responsible for specific mRNA codon recognition, and the 3' end, to which the tRNAs corresponding amino acid is attached (by aminoacyl-tRNA synthetases). tRNAs cope with the degeneracy of the genetic code in two manners: having more than one tRNA (with a specific anti-codon) for a particular amino acid; and 'wobble' base-pairing, i.e. permitting non-standard base-pairing at the 3rd anti-codon position.
Source: RNAcentral
GGGGAGUUAGGCUAGUCUGGUAGGCUUUCAGCUUUGGGAGUUGAAGACCCGAGUUCAAAUCUCGGACUCCCCA